Molecule: ribosomal RNA, 496 nt
Filed under: uncultured bacterium
Lineage: Bacteria
Description: partial 16S ribosomal RNA
Rfam family: Bacterial small subunit ribosomal RNA
Source: RNAcentral
AUUGAACGCUGGCGGAAUGCUUUACACAUGCAAGUCGAACGGUAUAGGGGGCAACCCCUCGAGAGUGGCGAACGGGUGAGUAAUAUAUCGGAACGUGCCCAGUCGUGGGGGAUAACGUAGCGAAAGAUAUGCUAAUACCGCAUACGAUCGAAGGAUGAAAGCGGGGGAUCGCAAUACCUCGCGCGAUUGAAGAGGGAGAUAUCAGAUUAGUUAGAUGGUGGGGUAAAGGCUAACCAAGCCAACGAUCUGUAGCUGGUCUGAGAGGAUGACCAGCCGCACUGGAACUGAGACACGAUCCAGACUCCUACGGGAGGCAGCAGUGGGGAAUUUUGGACAAUGGACGCAAGUCUGAUCCAGCCAUUCCGCGUGCAGGAUGAAGGCCCUCGGGUUGUAAACUGCUUUUGUACGGAACGAAAAGGUCUCUCUUAAUACGGGGGACUCAUGACGGUACCGUAAGAAUAAGCACCGGCUAACUACGUGCCAGCAGCCGCCGUAA